RNAcentral lists this transfer RNA (70 nucleotides) under Marmota monax (woodchuck). It matches the Rfam family "tRNA". From Rfam's summary of the family: Transfer RNA (tRNA) molecules are approximately 80 nucleotides in length. Lineage: Eukaryota; Metazoa; Chordata; Mammalia; Rodentia; Sciuridae. The record is from Rfam by way of RNAcentral.
GGUGGUGGCUCAGAGGUAGAGCGCUCGCCUAGCAUGCGUGAGGCACUGCGUUCCAUCCUCAGCACCACCU